GACGAUGUAGCUCAAGUGGUAGAGCACGUGCUUGGCAUACACAAGUUCCUGGGUUCAACCCCCAGCACCCCCU
Molecule: transfer RNA, 73 nt
Filed under: Camelus bactrianus (Bactrian camel)
Lineage: Eukaryota; Metazoa; Chordata; Mammalia; Artiodactyla; Camelidae
Also listed under: 1 other name
Rfam family: tRNA
About the family: Transfer RNA (tRNA) molecules are approximately 80 nucleotides in length. Their secondary structure includes four short double-helical elements and three loops (D, anti-codon, and T loops).
Source: Rfam by way of RNAcentral